This 393-nucleotide ribosomal RNA is filed under the name uncultured bacterium. Its description in RNAcentral is "partial 16S ribosomal RNA". It matches the Rfam family "Bacterial small subunit ribosomal RNA", at positions 523 to 918 of the family's 1533-position model. The record is from RNAcentral.
AUACGGAGGAUCCGAGCGUUAUCCGGAUUUAUUGGGUUUAAAGGGAGCGUAGGUGGACAGUUAAGUCAGUUGUGAAAGUUUGCGGCUCAACCGUAAAAUUGCAGUUGAUACUGGCUGGCUUGAGUACAGUAGAGGUGGGCGGAAUUUGUGGGGUAGGGGUGAAAUGCUUAGAUAUCACGAAGAACUCCGAUUGCGAAGGCAGCUCACUAGACUGUUACUGACACUGAUGCUCGAAAGUGUGGGUAUCAAACAGGAUUAGAUACCCUGGUAGUCCACACAGUAAACGAUGAAUACUCGCUGUUUGCGAUAUACAGUAAGCGGCCAAGCGAAAGCAUUAAGUAUUCCACCUGGGGAGUACGCCGGCAACGGUGAAACUCAAAUGAAUUGGCGGGG